Molecule: long non-coding RNA, 2446 nt
Organism: Sapajus apella (tufted capuchin)
Lineage: Eukaryota; Metazoa; Chordata; Mammalia; Primates; Cebidae
Exons: 2
Source: RefSeq, a predicted model, not a curated record
AGCACAUAUGUGUGUGCAUGCUUGUGUGUGUGUGUGCAUGUGAACAUACACAAAGCAGUAUCUCAAAGACUUUAUACCCAGUGUGGGUCUAUUUUUGGUUAGCUUACUUAUUUAGGCUCCUUUAUGUAUUCAAAGGGCAGCUGACAGGGAUAUGUAGAAUAUUACAUGCUAACAUAAACAGUCUUAGGGCCCCCAUUUCAAGGGCAUACAUUGGACUUAGGCCAUGGUUCUCAAACUGGCUGUCCAUCUAAGUCACCUGGAAAACAUGGAGAAAAAAGUCACAUAUUCCUGGCUUUCAUUCUAGACCCACUGAAACAGAAUCUGUAGGAGUGGGACCUGGGAGUCUGAUAUUUUGUUUUAUUUUGUUUUUUCCCUCCUUCCCUUUCUUCUUUUCUAUUAGUUUUUUAUUAAAACUUCUUAAGUGCUGGUACAGACUGUCCAAGGCCUGGAAUUUGGGACCCUUUGGUCUAGAACAUCUGGAGAAAUAUUUAGUUAGCCUUCAGGGACUCUUUUGUGAGUUUGUUCCUUGUUGCUUAUCAGAGAGUUUGAAAUUGUUCUUUCUUCCUAACAGGUGACAGGAGCAGAACCCUUCUAGGUGAUCAGUUAAAAGCAGAACAAUAUACCUUUCCCAGCAGUGGAGUUGAGGUGGAUUUGCUAUCCUCUAGUCAAAACUAUGGGAAUGGAUUCACCAGGACACAGCAGUUCAUUCUAGCUCUGCUUGUCAGUGAGCCACCUGGAACCUCAGGCUGGGCCAAAUUCUCCUUAAGCAAUCAUUUACCAUUUAUUCUACCAUAGCAGAUGAAAGUCAGAUCAAGGCCCUAGAUUUCUCUUGCUGAUAGCAAGAACAUAAAAGUAUUUAUCUCAGAAGUUUUUUUAAAAGUAAACCUAACCAAAUAGCUCCCUUGAGAAAAGAAAUUAAAAAGGGAGAAGAAGAGAGUCUCAAAUAUUCUUAAUAUUGCGGCCUAUCCCUCCCUAGAAAAAGCCACUUGAGAAAUAAAUAGCAAGGAAGCAGAACAAUGUAAACUUGAAUGAACUGGAUAUGUCUACAGGAAACCUUUUUAGAGAAGGUGAUAUAUGAGCUGGGGCUUGAGAAAAGAAUAGAACUAGACAGGAAAAUGUUGGGGGAGGGUAUUGAUCUGCAAGCUUGGACAAGAAACAAAGGCAUUGAGAAGGCAAUAUGUAAGAACCAUGAGCAAAGUCCAAUAGAAUUUUUAAGGCAGAUAGACUUACAAUAGGGAAGCUAUAACCAAACUGGUCUUGAGAGCGUGAAAAGAUUGGUAGCCACUACCAAUGGGCUGUCAGCCAGUGCUCAAGGAAGCCUUAGAUCAACCGCAAACUACAAGGACUAUGGCCAAAGCAGGCACUUCAGGCUAGUGUAUCACUCUACCCACACUAUGGGCUUCUAGAACCUCGAUUUAAUCCUGUUCUUUAUUCCUAGAUUCCAUUUUGGCAGGAAUGUAGGUAAGACCAAAGUAGGUACACUGCUCUCCAUUAGGUCAUGUGUUACUGUCCUGGGUACCCAGAGGCUCCUCCCACUCAGCAUCCACAUAGGGAAAGCAUCCCUUCCAUCUAGGCCUCCACCUUAUAACCACCACUUGCAGCAGUGCUUCCAUAGGCUGGCCUCUGAUCAAGAUCCUCAGACCAGUCACACAGUCAGUCCCAUCUAUGGCCAUUGUUGCUAAGUUCUUCUCUCAUCUCUAAUGAAAAUAAUGAUCUUUUUAACCUUUAUCUUGCCCAUUUUUGGUCCCUAUUUGGAUACCUGAUUAUAGCCUAGCAUUUGAAUGACAUCACUCCCUUACUCAUUUCCCUUACACAAUUAAAACAAAAAUAACUCUAAAGAAAAUGAGUAGUGACACAUCAAGAAAAGAAAAGAGGGGAGGACAUUUCAAAGAGGCCCAACUGCUUAUGGUUUCAGAAGUGAUUAGUGUUCCACUUUGGCUAGAAUGUGGGAGUGAAAAGAGGGAAGCUUAGCUGAAGGUGAGGCCGGAAAGAUGGAUUAGAGCCAGAUCAUGAAAAUUGUAUAACAUACUAAGGUGCUUGGUCUUUAUACUGCAGUCCAUAUGCAGAGGAGCCAUAGCAACGGUAGAAGAAUUUUAAGCAUGACAGUGCACAUUCUGAGCUGACCAAAUUGUAAAAAGAUCACUUUAGUGGUGGGAAAGAUAGAUGAGAGAGUAAAGACUGGAGACCAGUUAAGGAGACUAAUUGUCCUGGCAAGAGUCAGGGAGCCCUGGACUAUGGCAUUCCCAAUGGGAAUGGAAUAGAAAAGACAGAUUUGAGAAAGGCUCGAUAAGAUCUUGCUAAGAUUUCAAACAUGGAACAUUGAUGAACUGAGAAACAGAAAAGUCUAACUUGGGUACUUAAGUAGAUGGUACAGUAAUUAAUCAUGGAGAAGCAGGUUUUAUGGGAAAGGUUCUGUGCUCAAUUUUGGACAUAGUGGUUUUGAAGA